AUGCUGACAUGAGUAGCGAUAAAGAGGGUGAGAGACCCUCUCGCCGAAAGACCAAGGGUUCCUGCGUAAAGCUAAUCUGCGCAGGGUUAGUCGGCCCCUAAGGCGAGGCCGAAAGGCGUAGUCGAUGGGAACCACGUUAAUAAUCGUGGGCCUGGUGGUAGUGACGGAUCUCGUGUGUUGUAUCUCCUUAUUGGAUUGGAGGUGCAGCGAAGAGGUUCCAGGAAAUAGCUCCACCGUAUAAACCGUACCCGAAACCGACACAGGUGGUCAGGUAGAGAAUACCAAGGCGCUUGAGAGAACUCGGGUAAAGGAACUAGGCAAAAUGGUGCCGUAACUUCGGGAGAAGGCACGCUGGCGUUAGGUGAGGUCCCUUGCGGACGGAGCUGAAGCCAGCCGAAGAUACCAGGCCCCUGCGACUGUUUAUUAAAAACACAGCACUGUGCAAACACGAAAGUGGACGUAUACGGUGUGACGCCUGCCCGGUGCCGGAAGGUUAAUUGAUGGGGUUAGCGUAAGCGAAGCUCUUGAUCGAAGCCCCGGUAAACGGCGGCCGUAACAAUAACGGUCCUAAGGUAGCGAAAUUCCUUGUCGGGUA
Molecule: ribosomal RNA, 595 nt
Filed under: Kryptoperidinium foliaceum
Lineage: Eukaryota; Dinophyceae; Peridiniales; Kryptoperidiniaceae
Description: partial Bacterial large subunit ribosomal RNA
Rfam family: Bacterial large subunit ribosomal RNA
Source: RNAcentral